UACGUAGGGGGCUAGCGUUAUCCGGAAUUACUGGGCGUAAAGGGAGCGUAGACGGUUGUAUAAGUCUGGAGUGAAAGCCCGGGGCCCAACCCCGGGACUGCUUUGGAAACUGUGUAACUUGAGUACAGGAGGGGCAGGCGGAAUUCCUGGUGUAGCGGUGAAAUGCGUAGAUAUCAGGAGGAACACCGGCGGCGAAGGCGGCCUGCUGGACUGAAACUGACGUUGAGGCUCGAAAGCGUGGGGAGCAAACAGG
Molecule: ribosomal RNA, 253 nt
Filed under: uncultured bacterium
Lineage: Bacteria
Description: partial 16S ribosomal RNA
Rfam family: Bacterial small subunit ribosomal RNA
Source: RNAcentral